This 284-nucleotide long non-coding RNA is filed under the name Nicotiana benthamiana. RNAcentral describes it as "long non-coding RNA (NBEN_LNC024187)". Lineage: Eukaryota; Viridiplantae; Streptophyta; Magnoliopsida; Solanales; Solanaceae. The record is from RNAcentral.
AGGCUUGAAUGGAUGGCUUCCAAGGCCAGGGCUCGAUCCUGCACAAUUCAGACCAGCUAGUAUCUGUUUAAUUUACUUAAUGCACUCACAAGCCUUCGCAUCGCUGCCCUAGCUUCGUGUUAAGGGCACAACUUAAAGAACAACUUACUCUAUUGACGUAAUAUUCAUUCAUAGUGGCCAGGCGGACCGUUCUGAAGACGGAGGGCCCUAAGAAACCCAGAAAGAAAAAAACCAAUAUAGGAACUACAACUAAGAAAGAAUAAGAAUAAGCAGAAUUGCUUAAG